CCAAUCUAAACAGGCCCU
Molecule: microRNA, 18 nt
Filed under: Sorghum bicolor (sorghum)
Lineage: Eukaryota; Viridiplantae; Streptophyta; Magnoliopsida; Poales; Poaceae
Description: sbi-miR5382
Source: miRBase by way of RNAcentral